UGCUUCUUUGCUGACGAGUGGCGGACGGGUGAGUAAUGUCUGGGAAACUGCCUGAUGGAGGGGGAUAACUACUGGAAACGGUAGCUAAUACCGCAUAACGUCGCAAGACCAAAGAGGGGGACCUUCGGGCCUCUUGCCAUCGGAUGUGCCCAGAUGGGAUUAUCUAGUAGGUGGGGUAACGGCUCACCUAGGCGACGAUCCCUAUCUGGUCUGAGAGGAUGACCACCCACACUGGAACUGAGACACGGUCCAGACUCCUACGGGAGGCAGCAGUGGGGAAUAUUGCACAAUGGGCGCAAGCCUGAUGCACCCAUGCCGCGUGUAUGAAGAAGGCCUUCGGGUUGUAAAGUACUUUCAGCGGGGAGGAAGGGAGUAAAGUUAAUACCUUUGCUCAUUGACGUUACCCGCAGAAGAAGCACCGGCUAACUCCGUGCCAGCAGCCGCGGUAAUACGGAGGGUGCAAGCGUUAAUCGGAAUUACUGGGCGUAAAGCGCACGCAGGCGGUUUGUUAAGUCAUAUGUGAAAUCCCCGGGCUCAACCUGGGAACUGCAUCUGAUACUGGCAAGCUUGAGUCUCGUAGAGGGGGGUAGAAUUCCAGGUGUAGCGGUGAAAUGCGUAGAGAUCUGGAGGAAUACCGGUGGCGAAGGCGGCCCUCUGGACGAAGACUGACGCUCAGGUGCGAAAGCGUGGGGAGCAAACAGGAUUAUAUACUCUGGUAGUCCACGCCGUAAACGAUGUCGACUUGGAGGUUGUGCCCUUGAGGCGUGGCUUCCGGAGCUAACGCGUUAAGUCGACCGCCUGGAGAGUACGGCCGCAAGGAUAAAACUCAAAUGAAUUGACGGGGGGCCCCGCACAAGCGGGUGGAGCAUGUGGUUUUUAUUUCUGAUGCAACGCGAAGAACCUUUACCUGGUCUUGACAUCCACAGAACUUUUUCAGAUGAUG
Molecule: ribosomal RNA, 943 nt
Filed under: Escherichia coli
Lineage: Bacteria; Pseudomonadati; Pseudomonadota; Gammaproteobacteria; Enterobacterales; Enterobacteriaceae
Description: bacterial SSU rRNA
Rfam family: Bacterial small subunit ribosomal RNA
Source: RNAcentral